This is a long non-coding RNA of Pan troglodytes (chimpanzee), 724 nucleotides long. RefSeq lists it as uncharacterized. The record is from RefSeq and is a predicted model, not a curated record. The transcript has 5 exons. Lineage: Eukaryota; Metazoa; Chordata; Mammalia; Primates; Hominidae.
AUUCCGUGUGUGGCUGCUUGGGCAGCUGCUCCAUGCCAGGCUUGGAGGACCAGGAGAAGGGGUAGUCACUUGCCACAGCUGGAGGCUGGAGCGUGUGGCAUCAUGGCUCGCCUCGCUGUGGUGGGUGCUGGCGACAGAGACGGCAGCUCGGCUGGACUGUUAAACAUUAUGUAAACUAAAGUACAGAACCCUGGCAAAAUUGAAAGGCCCCAGUAUUAUUGGAACUCUUUUAUGAUUCAGCUUUUCAUGGAGUUCUACUUUAUCAUGAAAUCUAGCACACUGGUUCCUUUCAAUUAAUCCCUGAAGGUUAAUAUUUUUGGACCACAGUUGACCUGAGGUAACUGAAACUGCUGAAAACAAAACCAUGGAUAAGGGAGGACUCUUGUAUUAUCACAGAUUAUCACAUAUCAAAACUAUGGCUCUAGGCUUUUUAGAAGAGUUUAACAAGUGGAGCUUGAAGCUCUGUUUUUACCCUUUCUCCGGGCUGUUAUUGUCAUACAAAUUACAUCUUUAUACAUGUUGUGCUGAACAACAAGUGGAUUUGUAGGUGUUUCUUUGUGAAGUUAUCUUCUAAAUCAGAAUUAGGGAAGAAAUUAUUCAAGAUAGACUCCUAGAAAUACAAUUAUCAGCUCAUGAAUAUGGACAUAAUUUGAUAAAUACAGCAAAUUGCUUUCUAAAAGUUGUUCAGUAAUUUUUGACCAAAUAGAGCUUCCAUGUUUUCAAA